UAGAAAAGCAGAUAAGGUUCUUAGAGACGGUGUCUUCACUUCGACUUCUCAGGUAAAGCAGCUCCCUCCCCCCCAGGGAAGAGCCCACCAGGCCCUUACUGCUCAGCCCACACUUCAUGGUCAGCCCCACUCCUGGUUCUGACUGUCAAGGGGUCCCUAGGCCUGAACGCCUGCCUGCACUUUUGCAGUUCUCCAGUGCCUGGUGCUAACAGGGUUUCCAUUCUACUCUUAUUGAACUUUUAUCAUUAGAUUAAGAUAUAAGCUGUAACUAAUGGCCGAAAGCAAGAGAACUGAGACAGCGGCGAGAACCCCGCUGAGCGACUUCUCCUAUGCUCUUCCCAACAGUGUCACUAGGGUGGUUUUCUGCAUGCAGCUGGCAUUGUGCACUUCUUGCUGGAAGCACAUUUUGCACUGGAUGUGUGGUAAGAUAACAGACUGAGAGAAAGAGUCAAAACACUCAAGGCAUCUCUACCCUCUUUCCAGAGAGGAAAUCUGCAGCUUCUCCAAGGUCGGAUGAGGCAUCAGCAGAAGCAGCUUACCACGUCGUCUUCGUCCCAUGCACUGAUCUCAAAGGAAGGCAGCAGCUGCGUGGGAGAUAUGAAGGCCAUGAGAAAGGGAAGCGACAUUACCCUCACCUUUCUGGUGCGUCCCUCUCACCUCAGCUCUUCCGCUGCUCUGGCUUCCUCUGGCUUUCCCUCAACCUUCCGGGGAAGUUCUCAGCGUCCAAGGACGCUGAGCCCAGCAGCCAGUUUGUAAGUCAGUUCCUGGCAACAAUGCAUGCUACUUUAUGCGCUGCUUUAAGGGGGGACUUGGUAGAGUCUUCUUUGGCACGGGCCUUGAGAUCAAGGCCUUUCUGACAUUCACCAGCCAUCAGAGAAGCCUUGGAAUUCUCGACCAGCAGUAGGAUAAUAGGAAAAUUUACCACCGGAAAUUCCAAAACAACCAUAAGUAACCAGGUGACUUGUUUUGCCUAUUCUCACAGGGGUUCUGGGGCUUAAGCAUCUCCCUUGCGUGGAGGAGGCAGAACAUGUGAGGUUGGAACUGUCCUAAGGUAUCUGGGUUCCGAGUUGCUCCAACACAGACCGACACAUCUCCCUGUCAGGGACACGUGUGGAAUGGGGAUUUGCAGAGCCCGUCAUCAGUGUGUUCCAUGGUUAUGGGCUAAACAGCACAUCUUUCAUAACUUGAAAAGGCCUGUAUCCCGUGGGCUAGAGUGUGGUGUAGCCAAUAGCUUCAAGUAACUUGACUUGUCAAGAUGUGUAUUCAUGAUUCAUGACUCAUGAUUCACGAAAGAAUAUGCCAAAGUAUCACUGGGCCUGUUACAGACGGUCUUUCUUUGUGAGCAGGGAGGGAAAAGGGAUUAGACCGGGGGAGGUGUGAUCUGAACACUUUGUGCACAUGGGUGGAAUUCUCAAAGGACAGCAAGAAAAAGGUAAGAAAGUUGAAUGCAGUUGCUUCUACUGCUAGUGCGACAGUCUGACGGGGCUAAAUUAAUCUUCCCAACUUAGAGAUAUUUAUUGCAAAACCACAAGCUCAGACUGCUAGGAAAGGCAUGAUCCCUAUAAAGAAUUUUACUAGUCCCGAGUGGAACAUCCGUGGAUUAUAUUCAGGAAAGGCCACUUUUAUCAUUGUUCUUCUAGUUACUAAUGCAUAAUGUUUGGUAUAUUUGCAUAUUUGUAUGUGUGUGGGUACAUGCAUGUGUGUACCCUUGGAAUUCUCGACCUUGGUGCGUCUUUCCUCAGGUCCUACUCUCUGACCUGGAGCUCAUCAAUUAGGCUGGGCCGCCUGGCCAAUGAGCGCCAGAGACCUAUCCGCCUGUCUGCCCCAUAUAUAUCCCUGACUGGGAUAUGAGGUCAUGUCACAAUAGCUGGCUCUUUAUUUAUAUGCUGGGACUUGAACUCAGGUCCUCAGACAUGUAGAGCAGGCAUUCUGCCAACCCAGUUCUCUCUCUAGCCCCACCCGUGUAAUCUUUCUCAUGCUAUCUUAUAGAAUGAAAUGGUAGCGUGAAGAACAUAUGUAUUCGGAUUAUUUGGUAGUCUGCUCUGUGUUGAUAGGCAUACGAAGAUCGAUGUCCCACAGCAUAUAAUGGGGGAACGGAAGGCAAGGAAGAACAACUGGGUAGAUACUGGCCGUGGGGCUGCCGUGGGUGUGGCAUGCUCACUUAACUGGAACACAGGAUGAAGUGAGUUUGUGUUGGAGUAAAAAGAGAAGGAAGCCAAUUCUGGGUGUGGCAGAGCAGGUUUUAUUAUUUUGAACCCCACUGUUGAAACAAGCGUGGAUGUGCAGACUCUAAGUACUACAUGUAGGUUCCAAGGCUAUAAAGCGUGUGUUGAAGUCAGCCACGUUCCCUACAUACUCCACUACUCGUGUGUGUCCUUCCUCUGAAACACACGCUCUACGAAGGAGUCACCCAGCAUGCUCGCCCGCUUGAACCGUGUGGAUGAGUGGAUCUCAAGCAAAGAAAACACACGACAGGUUUUACCUCUCCGUGGGGCAGCUGGCCACAGCUGCAGAAACAUGCCAUCCCUCCCGCCCACCGCGGAUACCAGUGUGAAGGAAGAGACAUCGAGAUACUACCACAGAAGGAUUGUCCUGCAUUAAGGCUCGUCUCUACAGGAUGUGUGUCAGUGCCCGUGUGACUGUGAUGUGGGGUGUGUGGGGUGUUUUGACUUUUAUAUAAUUUCCAAAUGUGCUAACAAGACUGAGGAAUAACUAUUUCUUGAUAAAGACUGUAAACAAAACAGCUGACAUCUUCAGUUUUAGUGUGCAAAGGACAGCGAAGUGCUCGCCGCUCCAGGGCUGGAUGUCAGCGUCAAGGCGCAGGAAGACCUAAGCCUUGCCUGCCAUGCCUUCCAGCAGGAGUCGACAGAGGCUUGCAAAGAUCAGUGAGAGGAGGGCUGGGACCAGGCGCCGCGGCAAGAAGGUUUGAAUUUGGCAAGACAGGGGCUAAGAGUUAACGAUCUCCAGCCACACAGAGGCUCGCGUCUCCUUCAUGUUCCCUGUGCCUUGUUAACAUAUCAGCGCAUCUGCCGGGGAUGAGUUCUAAGCCUUUCUCUUUUCUUUGGGGAUAAAAAAAAAAAAAAUCCCUCACGACUGCCCCAUCACUUUAGUAAUUCACUAUUUAUACUCCAUCAGACUUGAGAAGAGAAGAGAUAGUGCUCGCGUGCAUGUGCGUGUGCGUGACACUGAUUUCCUCAAAGGAUGUUGGGAAUCCAGUCUAACAAAGAUCUUAUGUACACAGCGACACAGCACAGGGGUUUACUGUCAAAACGUUUAUUGCAAAAUGGAGUCUUAGAACAAAGGAAAGCAGAGAAAAGUUCACAUCAGAACGAAAUGUAUGACACCAACUUGGAUUUCUGAACACAUUGUGGACUCGGUGCUGGAAUAUCAAAUUCCAACUAUGAAGCCGGCAACUACACAGUCUGACCAAACAGGAUCGCAGUUUAAUCUCCCAUACAGACAUUAUACACAGCAUUUGGCAUAAGACUUGCUCAGAAUAACAUUGCAGUAGAGCGAAGGGGGGGGAAGAUUGUUAUGGAAACACAGCGGUGAUGCCGCCUAUUAAAAGCUCACACUCAAAAAGGGUAGAAACGUUCUCUAUAGCAGUUCCCUAGAGUGCAAAAGCAGUGUGUCAGGUCGGAAUUAAGAGUAUUCGCACACGCUGUAAACCAGUUGCCUAGUGCCCGAACUCUAGUUUGAAAUAGCUAACCACAUGCCAGAAAGUUUCUCACACAAGCAACACAGUGCCCACAAAGCUAGGGUCCGAGAAGACAGGGCCUGUCCCGAUUUCCUGAUAGACAUUCAUCUUUCAAUCACAGAAUGCCGCCGGGCUACCCUACAUCCAGCAGGGUGGAGCCUCUUGCGGCAGUGGGGAAGUCUACCCAGGAAAGCGGCCUUUCUCGAAAGCAGCAGACGGUGCCUGAUUAUAGAAAGAAUUAGGCUCUCCUGUGUGUCUGUGGUGUAGCGGGACUCGACGAGUUUCACAAGGCUGCCCCGGUCUAGUGUGGCAAAAUCGUUUUCAAAGUAUCCGUAUUUAACUCACUAGGUUUUAAAACCAUCUUUCAUCUUAACACGCUAAUGAAAAACUCAAGUUAUAUACAUGCACAGUAACUUGAAGGGAAAUGGGUCUGAGUCUCUGCUAAGUCCCUCCCUUCCUCUAGGCCCUUUGAUUUUAAUGGGGAUCAGGUGUGAAUACCUCAGCUGGUGUUUAAAGUCUAACUAAUUCAUUGCAUUUUGUUUUUAAAGUUACGGGUUGAAAAAAAACAAAACAAAAAACAAACCCAAAACAGUCCUCAGUAUUUUCAGAGCAUCAAAAGCAGUGUGCCCUGUGCCUUCAACCGUAUCCCACUGGUGAUUCAUGAAACAAUAAAAAUGUGCUUAAAAAAAAAAA
Molecule: long non-coding RNA, 4390 nt
Organism: Alexandromys fortis (reed vole)
Lineage: Eukaryota; Metazoa; Chordata; Mammalia; Rodentia; Cricetidae
Exons: 2
Source: RefSeq, a predicted model, not a curated record